RNAcentral lists this long non-coding RNA (1371 nucleotides) under Sus scrofa (pig). RNAcentral describes it as "lncRNA (ENSSSCG00065060666.1)". Lineage: Eukaryota; Metazoa; Chordata; Mammalia; Artiodactyla; Suidae. The record is from RNAcentral.
AGAACUAGUCACAUGGCCCCACAUUCCAGCAAAGGAGGCUGGAAAUGCAAAGAAUGACAUGGGAUCUUUGAAGAGUUUCCGGAAAAGCUGCAGCAUUAAACCCAACAAGAAUGUCUGUUCAACAACUGUGCUGAAAAUGAGAUGAUUUGAUUUCGGGAGGUAAAGUAUAUCUUGAAGUUAAAUUCUUGGCUCCACUUUUAAAUCCUCUCAAGUAGGUUAGAAUAGCUGGCUCAUCCUUAACGGAUGGAGCUGGGCACUCCCUUCCCCUAUCAGCCCCUUGAGAGGGUGUAAGAACACACAAGGUCUCCCUUUUGAUGCACAUUUCUCCCCUAUACAGGGGUUACAUAGCACAAGGCUCAGAAGCGGGGAGAGGAAAUGCCUGUGAACCUGGAUUUUAGAUGACAAGAGGGAGCAGGCCCAUCUCCUCUGCAGAGAAUUCCCUCACACUCAAGUCAAGCUUCUGUUCCAGAGCCAGUGACCCUCCUACACCAGCACCUGGACUAUGUCCUGAGGUCACAGGUAGGAAAGUAGGGUAAGAGGAUGUGAAGUCACAACCAGUGAUGACCUGGAGCAGGGGGCUUCUUGGAGGGAAUAUGGUCAGGUUUCUGUGGUCUGAGUGGCAGAUCAGUCUCAAAUGCUUGGCUCUGUGGGGUAAGAUUCCAUCUGACAAGGGCAUUCACAGGAUUCCCAGGGAGGCCCAACUUUUUAACAGUCAGACUUCUCAAUGAAAUUGGCCACCUCAAGGAAAAGACUGUGGUCUCCAUCACAGGCAAGUCCAGACAACCACUGACUUCUCAGCUGGUAUAAAAAGGGGUCAGACAGGAGCGAGGCUAAUGCCCUGGCAAUUCCGACACACUAAGGGGCUUGUUUACAGUCCUGGUUACCUGACAAGUCUGGGCAUUGUCACAGGGUGGCUCGUCAUCUUACUUUGCCCAGAGCAAUCCCAACUUUAGCCCUGAAAACCUUUAGUCUCAGCCAAACGGAGACAACUGGUCACCCUACUUUGUAAGCCCUGUAGGUGACAGCCUCCAAACUCACAUUUAAUCCUUUAGGACCGGGUAAUCCAGUGGUUCAAGGAUGUGACACACCAUGUGUCACCAUCAUUGGUUAUAAAUGCUAAGGUUGAAAAAAAGGGAUCAAAUUUAGAAAGAUUACUUUAAUGAGUGAGUUCAAGAUUGCUCAUAUAUGAACACCAUUCUGACCUAUAUGCAUCCUAAUAUGCUUUCUUGUGUGGGAUGGAAAGAAGUGAAACUCUGGUUAGUUAGCAUGCCAGACACUACUUUUACAGCAGCUGAAGUGAGCAACCUAUCCUGAUAUGAGCCAACUGGGAAAUUAAUAGAGUGCUCCUAUCUCAAAAAAAAAAAAAAAAAA